Molecule: long non-coding RNA, 3487 nt
Organism: Cyprinus carpio (common carp)
Lineage: Eukaryota; Metazoa; Chordata; Actinopteri; Cypriniformes; Cyprinidae
Exons: 2
Source: RefSeq, a predicted model, not a curated record
ACUUAAUUUUCUGUAAAGUUGCUUUGCAAUGAUUUUUAUCGUAAAAAGCGCUAUACAAAUAAACUUGAAUAGAAAACUUGAAUUAAAAAAUACUAAAAUAAAUAUAUUUUUGAAUGGUAGUGAAUGCUGAUGCAAGGUUUGAGUCACCUACAGACUUCCUCUUUGUUCUUUAUGCUGUUGCCUUGGGUAGAUGAUCCGAUUUUACACUUUUGGAUCAUAUGCUAUGCCUUAUUUUAUUUACUUACUCAUUACUUACUUCAUUUACGGUUUCAGCUACUGCCUCUUCUUUAACAGCUACCUUUUCUGUGGCCUGCAAAAAGGAAAGACCGGGAGAUAAAGAAGAAGAGAGCCAAUACAGAUUGAAGAAUAAGAGGUUCCUACAGGAGCACGACCUCAAUAUAGCACAGCUCAGCUCCUGUCAGCUUGCUCUAUGAGAUUUGUACCUGGGCCCCAUCAUCGUCCCACCCCUGGGCCUGCUGGGUAGAAUCAUUGUCAUUCCCCUGCACAGGCUGAGAGCCAUCAUCGUCCCAGGUGGUGUAUGCAGCUGGAGCACACACAGGUUGGCUACCAUCAUCAUCCCAGGUAGCCUGGGUACCAUCAUCACCCCAGCCAGAGUGCCCAGGCUGGGUACCAUCAUCGUCCCAUGUCUGAGGCACCUCAGCUUCCUUCUCUGUUUGCUACGUGUGGCAGGAAGGAGGGUGGGUAUGGUGGUGAGGGGAAUGGUGGGGAAGGGUACAUGUGGGAGCAGGGGAAAAUCAUGAGCAGGGAUCAUUCAGAGUGGAGAAAGAAUGAGGAGCCAGAGAGAGUGUAAUAUACAGAUGAGCAUUUCUGCAGCUGAACACACAAUACUGGAGGUCAUAUAGCCUCUAUGGAAUGAUGUGGGACAUGCAACAGUAAUAUCGCGGACAGUUACUAAAGCGGGACAGACAGACAGACAUUUACAAUCUUUAUGCUGGAAAGCUUUGCAGUGAAAGGAAAUUUAAUGGAAUAGCUUUAACAAGGGCAGACUGAUUUCCCUGACCAUUACAUAUACUGAAUAGUAUUAGCUAAAUUCUUCAAAAUAGUGUAGGAAUCUGUUUGAAUUAAAAGGAAAGGUUACGUAUGCUGAUAUACACUACAGCUAUGAGAAAACAUAAAAGCACACUCACCUCCCAUGAUUCCCAAGUCUGUAAAAAAGCAUAAAAACAUAGUAAACUUAAUGACUAGACAAAGCAGUAUGGCCUUGGACUGAGUCUGGUCUUGCCUGGACCUGAGUACUACAACACUGCUAUAAGCUAAAUUGAGUGAAAGUUUAAUAAAACUCUAAAAAACUUGACUUAGUUCCCCUAAUUCUGACAGACCUGUGCGGCUGGUGUGGUGGCAGCCUGAAGUGAGUCCAGAUCCAUAUCCAGCAGAUUAGCAGUGGCUGGAGCUUCAUACUGACAAAAAAAAAAAAAGAAAAAAAAGAAAGAAAGAAAAUUCCUGUGAAAUUUUGCAGGACAAAACUCCAUUGUUGGUUAAUAAGCAGGACAUUUGCUUUACUGCAUUAAACCUGUUGCAAAAUUUGAGUGGGCAAAUCUUGACAGAUUCUUUCUUUGUGAAAUUACAGAUUACACAGAUUCCUAUUGAAAUGACUGCAAUACAUCCAUGAAAAUAAGAGCAUAAUGUAUAACUAUCAAACAAAACAUUUUAGGGUCGGUUGUCAUUCAGAAUUGAAUUAUGAAUGCCUUUCAAAUUUUGAAUCCUGAGUUUGAAAAGGAGCCAAAAAGAAGAUUUUGAAUUUAAUAAAAAGUAAAAUUAAAUUGGUUUACAUUCCAAGAAAUGUAUAUUCUAUGUAAAGUGUUAUUUUUAUUUUUCAGUAUUAAGUACUACCUGUGUUAAUUAUUAAAACAUUUCUAUUCCAUCCAUAGAAAAGUAUUUAGUUUGAAUAUAUUUCAUUCAGAUUUAACAAAUUAACUUCUUCAAAGUGGAGCCAAACACCAAACAGACUUUUAAAAGAACACCUGAGAAGUGACCUGCUGCUGCCAUGUUCUUCAUACCAACAACAUUUAUUGCAUUUUAAUUCAGUAAACCCCAUCAUUCCAACCCAGAUUCAACAUCCUACUAUUCAAAUUCCAGCUUGUGAACUGGCAGGAAGUCAGUUUUCAAACUGCGUAUUUUAGCCAAUGCUGGUGUCUCUACUAUUAGCAAAAUUAGCCUGAAGACGAGGAUUACAGGAGAAGAAAGUACAGCUGACCUGUGUUGGCGAAGUGACACUGAUGUCUGGAGCAGCAGCCUCACCAAACAGAUUGAUAAUGUUCUCCUGCUUCAUAUCCUUUGAUGGAGUAACUUUAGGAGGUGGAGGAACCAUAGGCCUUAGCUAGAAACACAUAAAAAUUAAAUAGGGUUUUAUAUUUCAUAUAGAAAUCGCUGUAAAACUGGGAUAUCACAGCAAUUAUUCAUUUUGGGGUGCUGAUUUGCUCAAGCACAUCAUUUUACAUUAUUUUAUGUUUCCUGAUGCAACUCCUUUGCCAAAUGUAAGUUAAAUUAAUUGAAUAAUUCAUUUUAAUUGCCAUUUACCAAUGACCGCUUUUGUUAUUUUUAUAUUUAUUUUGUUAUUUUAAGUGCAUUAAAGCUGAUACAUAAAUAUAUGAUGAUAUUCUUGUACUAAGUAAAUGAAUUACUUUUUUGCAAAUCACCAGAUUUCAGAUUUUUUCUCAAGAUGCAGGGCUGUGUUAUUUUACAUGGCAAGUACAAUGCCGUGGUGAUUUCUAAAUGCAUACCUUGGAUGGUGAUUUGGGUAUGGCUGGCGGUCCUCCUGGGCUCAAUGUGUGAUUGGCAUCUUGUGUUCUGUCACUGCAGCAUAAAGUACAAAUAAUGAAAUACAGUAUCAUGGCUAUAAAGAGCCCCUGUGUGUCAUGCUUUGAUUAGGCUCAAUCCAAGCACCGAUGCUUCACACUGCAAGCCCUAGUCACAGAUGGCCAGUGUGACCAACAGCCUAUCUGGGAGACUUCCAAGCCAGAACUGAUAUACUGUAACUACACUUAGUAUAGUACCAAAAUUAACAGGUAUUCAUGCAGACACAGUUGCUUCCUGUGCAAAAUCAUUCUGCUCAUGCAGUGAAUUCUCAGGACUGCAGACAGACUGCACAAGACAAACCCUUGUCUAGGUGGGCAGCACUUGAGGGCACGCAAAAAGCUUUAGUACGGAAUGCAAAGAUCCACACACACUCAAUCACACAGCACUGUAGGGCUACCGUUACCUCUUCUGGGCUGCUGAUGUCCUCACCCCUUGGCUACCUGUUUUUCUGUGAGAGUGGUGUUUUUGGUUUGUUCAUUUAUUUAAUUGUAUAAACUGUAUAGAGUGUAAUUGUACCAAUACUAAUUAUUGCCAUAUGCACAAUUUACACACCAUUUUGAGGCAAAAUAGAUAAAAAUGAGCCAGCAUGGUUAAAAUAUACAAUUCAUACAAUGCAGUGCUUAUAAAUGUAAACAUUAAGUAUGUAUGCUGCAUAUACAUUUGACUAACC